Pleuronectes platessa (European plaice) is the source of this 999-nucleotide long non-coding RNA. RefSeq lists it as uncharacterized. The transcript is spliced from 5 exons. The record is from RefSeq and is a predicted model, not a curated record. Lineage: Eukaryota; Metazoa; Chordata; Actinopteri; Pleuronectiformes; Pleuronectidae.
UGUGGCUGUCGUAAAAACCCUAUUUGUAAACAACCAGCCCUUUAACUCGGGGCUGCGUCAUAAACACGGUGCGCUUGGAAGACCACGAUGUCAUCUUCCUUCUGUCAGGAGGAUCCAAGUGAAGCUACAGGAGUUUCAUUAACGUCAACAACUUGGACCAAACAGUUUGUUUUGCUUGAUGAAGAGCAGGAAGGGCAGCCUGGAGAGAAAGAGAAGCCGGGUUGAGCCCACUACCAUCAUCCAUGUACCACGAGGAAGAUGAGGGAGAGAAAUGAUCCUACCAUUAAAGAGACUGUGAAAAGAACGUUGAGAACAUCACCACUCUACAGGAAGACACAGUCCAGUAAUGGGUGUCAGAAGUUCAGUAGUGAACGACAGGUACUGUGGAAAAAUAUGUGUCAUUGUUGUACAAUGUCCUUUGACUCUGUUUAAACAAGGUUAACACAAAAAGGUUUGAUUGUAAACUGAUAUCGGUAUGAAUUCAUGUUAUUCUCCUCGUCAAAAGAAACAAACAAUCCAAAUUACCUGCAGAAAGCCCUUGAUGGACGCUUCAGCUGCAUCGUCAGACUGGCAGUACUGAUGCAUUUACUGAGAGGGGACGUGAGGGCCUACUCUGCGUGCUCAGAGUUCAAGCCCAGCAGGCUGCAGCGGGCCUGACAUAUUCUGGAACAGCAGCACAGUCUUUGGAUGACUCCUCUGAAGAUGAAAACAUGGCGAGUUCUUCUCAAGAGAAGCAGUACAGGUGUGCCUCAGCUCCACGGUCCCUCCUGCAGCCUCCGCUCCUGAUGCUAACCUCAUGUCUCCAUCACACCAAGCAGCAGACCUGGAUUGACAGACCUUUCUCCAGAGCUGCCCCCUCCCUCUGAAACCCCCCUCUCCAAAACACUAUUUGUGUAGUUUUUAAAGUAUUUUUUGCAUGAGAAUUGUUGAUCAUAACAUUUCCAGCAGAUGCCUUAAUAUAAUGUUUGUGCACAAUAAAUGACAUUGAUCAUAACAUAA